GGGGGCAUCUGUAGGAGCACCAAAAAAACUCAGGACACUCCCACUCCAACCAAGAAAACUAUGAUUCCAACAGCAUUUUCCCAGGCUCAGCAGCUUGCUGAAAAGGAAAAUGUGACGCUACACAACGUGGAAACUUCUCCCAUAGCUUUGUGAGAGAGACAGGCAGCUUGAUAGGGGUUGCUACAUGACUAUUAUAUGUACUACAUGUACUACACAUUAUAUCAUUAAUGACAACAAUGUCUGAUAACAGUCAAAUAACUCUGUGUUAAAUACAAAAGAUGCCAAAGGUUCAUCAGCCAGUAGGAUUGAGAAGGAGUAGUUUUCAAAUAAUGAUGUUCACACAUAUCUAUACAUAUUAUGUAUUUUCCAAUAACUGAAUAUGGCUUAAGUUUGACAUGAUUCACAUGUAUGCAAUGCCUCACUGACUUAAACAAAUUAGAAGCAAGUUUGAGUUUCUGCAUACUGUGUGAUACCAGCUAAGAAAUGUAAAUGGUUGUUUAUAUAUACAUUUAUCAACAAGUCUUGAGUCGCCUGUGUUUUGGGGUCAUGUCAGGAUAGUCGAAGGAAGUCAUGAACAGAUAUGUGGGACUGUCCUGUAUUGACCUUGAUGAAAUGGUGUUUCUACAAGUCACACCUUGGUAUUAUGUACUUUGGAAGCACUACAUUUUCGUUAUUUUGGAAAAAUUUAUUCUGUUUUGAAAUGAGUGCUUGCCUCAGAGUAGCACACCAAUAACCACCUACAUGUACAAAGGUCUAUCUGCACAAUUUGAUAGCAAAAAAGUAAAAAUUAAUCUCCCUUCCCAAAACUGUCAUCAUCUGCAACUAAAACACUGGCAUAAGACUACUGAAAUCUGUCCAUUUGUAAGAACAUUACUUGAAUCAGGAGCUGGAUUGUUUCGUGUGAUAUCUUGAUUUGGCAGCUGAACCUGAUUUAAAGGAUUCCUUGUGCAAUAAGUGAACAUUUAUUACAUGACAUGAUCUUGAGGCUAAAGCCUUCUAUUUUUUUCCAUCAUCAAUAGCAUAAUUUAACAAAAUUUUAGUUUCAGUCAGUUGAUAGAGUAUUUCUCUAAUCUCUACAAAUGAACCUCAGAGUCAGACACACUCAAAUAUAUGGUGAGCUUAGUCUACGUUUGAAUUAGGGAAACUCAACUUUUGUUUUCAUCUCAAUUUUUUUUUUCCAUUGCUUGCAGCCUAGUAUUAGGAAAAGCUUUAGCGGGAAAAUGAAAAUUGCUGUUAGGUUGAUAGAAUUUGUAGUAUAUUUCUUGUGGUCAUCGUACGCUUUUGGAAUAUCCAAACAUGCAUUCCACUGCACACAUUCAUGUACAUUCACAUGAUAUUUAGGUUGCAACAUUCUACUGUAAUUGUAGAAAUAUAUGCCAAUAGUCAUAGAAUUUGAUUUGAUAGCCUUUGGUGGCAGGAACUCUUACUAUAACUUACUGUGUUGAUCUGAUGAUACUCAAACAUCACAGAAAUGUGAGCAUGGUUUUAAUGAUUAGUUUAUAGUAACAUUUAACCCAGCAGUGUAUAUUCUGCAACUCAUUUGUAAAAUUAUUACUUUGUAUUAUGUACUUAUCAUUAUUAUUGUUAUUAAUUCCUUACUUGUACAUUUGUAUCAUAUUAACCAUUUUUGUAAUAUUUAAAUUCCAAUACCAUUAUUGUUUAACCUGAUUUGAUGUACAAUGUAUUAUGCUAUUACUGCUUGUGUCCUUGUUACACUGAUGUUUUCAAGCAGUGUAACAAACCUCUAUCUAUGU
Molecule: long non-coding RNA, 1754 nt
Organism: Branchiostoma floridae (Florida lancelet)
Lineage: Eukaryota; Metazoa; Chordata; Leptocardii; Amphioxiformes; Branchiostomatidae
Exons: 3
Source: RefSeq, a predicted model, not a curated record